This 497-nucleotide ribosomal RNA is filed under the name uncultured bacterium. RNAcentral's name for it is "partial 16S ribosomal RNA". It matches the Rfam family "Bacterial small subunit ribosomal RNA", at positions 28 to 507 of the family's 1533-position model. The record is from RNAcentral.
GAUGAACGCUGGCGGCGUGCCUAAUACAUGCAAGUCGAGCGAACGGACGAGAAGCUUGCUUCUCUGAUGUUAGCGGCGGAAGGGUGAGUAACACGUGGAUAACCUACCUAUAAGACUGGGAUAACUUCGGGAAAUCGGAGCUAAUACCGGAUGAUAUUUUGAACCGCAUGGUUCAAAAGUGAAGGACGGUCUUGCUGUCACUUAUGGAUGGAUCCGCGCUGCCUUAGCUAGUUGGUAAGGUAACGGCUUACCAAGGCAACGAUGCAUAGCCGACCUGAGAGGGUGACCGGCCACACUGGAACUGAGACACGGUCCAGACUCCUACGGGAGGCAGCAGUAGGGAAUCUUCCGCAAUGGGCGAAAGCCUGACGGAGCAACGCCGCGUGAGUUAUGAAGGUAUUCGGAUCGUAAAACACUGUUAUUAGGGAAGAACAUAUGUGUAAGUAACUGUGCACAUCUUGACGGUACCUAAUCAGAAAGCAACGGCUAACUACGUG